Molecule: long non-coding RNA, 1131 nt
Organism: Magnolia sinica
Lineage: Eukaryota; Viridiplantae; Streptophyta; Magnoliopsida; Magnoliales; Magnoliaceae
Exons: 7
Source: RefSeq, a predicted model, not a curated record
CUCUUCUAUCUCUGAUCCAUCUCCUCCAUCUCUCUCAUUCUCCUCCAUCUCUCUCCCUCUCCCUCUAAUAGCGCAUGCAUCUCCCUCUCCCUCAAACAGCCCACGCAUCUCCCUCUCCCUAGGGUUUUGGUGAACCCCUUACCUAGGGUUUUCUCAUUCUAGCUCACGGCUAGAAGGAGGGGCAACCACUCUAGUUUAUUCCUCAGCUGGGAGGUAGCAACAAUGAUUUCAUCUCUGUCGAGCUCCGUCAAUGUGCAUGAGAAGGGUAAUUUGAUUUUGCAUAUGACAUACGAGGAGGAAGCGCAGAAUGCGGUGGCGGAGCGCGGCCUCGCACCUUCGGUAGCAGUGAAACGGAGAUUGGAAGUUGCAAUAUGAGAUAUGGUUGCAAUAGCAAAGAUAAUGAAUGCAACAUUGGUCCUUCCUUCUCUUGAUCACAAGUCCUUUUCGAUAGAUCCGAGGGUAGUGUAGAAUGUGGUUAUCCCAUUUGACAGUUGUAGAUGCAGCCAUUACGAACUUUAUGCAAUCCUUUGUACUGCUACAUAUAUCUUCAUUAUUUAAUUUUCAUUGAUAUCUACGAGCAUGGUUUGGACUGCAGUUUGUCUGUCAAAGCUUGAGUUCUGAGGUUGCGGUGGAAUGAAAUGUCAGGUUUCUUUUGGGAAAAAUUUCCAUUCAUUUUUUGGGAAAUGGUGGAAAAGGAAAUCGAUUUCCACACCUAUUUUUGCUUUUGUAAUCACAGGAAAACAUCACAUCUAUGGAAAUUGAUUUCAUUUCCACUGUUUUCUAGAGUUCUCCACCAAUCCAAACUGUUGGAAGGAAUAGAAAAAGCAGCAUGGAAAAAGGGUGGUGAUGUCAAAAUGGCAGAUGACACAACGUCAAAGACCAAAAAGAAGGCGGUAAUUUUCUUGACUAUGUGGCUUUGAUACUUUUUUCAGCUCUAUAUUACAAAACCUGACAGCCAUGUACUAAAUUGAUAGAGCCUAAAACACUUGCAACGCUUAGUGCCUAGACUUCUAGAUCAAAAACCCUAUUUGUUGGCAACCUAUCCUAUUAUGUCGAAAGAGCUUAUGUGUAAAUAUCAUUUAAUACCAGAGAACUACUCUUGUGAUAAGAUUUUAAUUUCUCAAUGUGUAU